GAUGAACGCUGGCGGCGUGCCUAACACAUGCAAGUCGAACGGAGUCGUUUUGGCAAUCUCUUCGGAGAUGGAAUUCUCGACUUAGUGGCGGACGGGUGAGUAACGCGUGAGCAAUCUGCCUUUAAGAGGGGGAUAACAGUCGGAAACGGCUGCUAAUACCGCAUAAAGCAUUAAAUUCGCAUGUUUUUGAUGCCAAAGGAGCAAUCCGCUUUUAGAUGAGCUCGCGUCUGAUUAGCUAGUUGGCGGGGUAACGGCCCACCAAGGCGACGAUCAGUAGCCGGACUGAGAGGUUGAACGGCCACAUUGGGACUGAGACACGGCCCAGACUCCUACGGGAGGCAGCAGUGGGGAAUAUUGCGCAAUGGGGGAAACCCUGACGCAGCAACGCCGCGUGAUUGAAGAAGGCCUUCGGGUUGUAAAGAUCUUUAAUCAGGGACGAAACAAAUGACGGUACCUGUAGAAUAAGCUCCGGCUAACUACGUG
Molecule: ribosomal RNA, 483 nt
Filed under: uncultured bacterium
Lineage: Bacteria
Description: partial 16S ribosomal RNA
Rfam family: Bacterial small subunit ribosomal RNA
Source: RNAcentral